GAUGAACGCUGGCGGCGUGCUUAACACAUGCAAGUCGAACGGAAAGGCCCAAGCUUGCUUGGGUACUCGAGUGGCGAACGGGUGAGUAACACGUGGGUGAUCUGCCCUGCACUUCGGGAUAAGCCUGGGAAACUGGGUCUAAUACCGGAUAGGACCACAUUUUGGAUGGUGUGGUGGAAAGUUUUUCGGUGUGGGAUGAGCUCGCGGCCUAUCAGCUUGUUGGUGGGGUAAUGGCCUACCAAGGCGUCGACGGGUAGCCGGCCUGAGAGGGUGUACGGCCACAGUGGGACUGAGAUACGGCCCAGACUCCUACGGGGGGCAGCAGUGGGGAAUAUUGCACAAUGGGCGCAAGCCUGAUGCAGCGACGCCGCGUGGGGGAUGACGGCCUUCGGGUUGUAAACUCCUUUCGCUAGGGACGAAGCGUUAUGUGACGGUACCUGGAGAAGAAGCACCGGCUAACUACGUG
RNAcentral lists this ribosomal RNA (466 nucleotides) under uncultured bacterium. RNAcentral's name for it is "partial 16S ribosomal RNA". It matches the Rfam family "Bacterial small subunit ribosomal RNA", at positions 28 to 507 of the family's 1533-position model. The record is from RNAcentral.